CACUCCUACGGGAGGCAGCAGUGGGGAAUUUUGGACAAUGGGCGAAAGCCUGAUCCAGCAAUGCCGCGUGAGUGAAGAAGGCCUUCGGGUUGUAAAGCUCUUUUGUCAGGGAAGAAACGGUGAAAGCUAAUAUCUUUUGCUAAUGACGGUACCUGAAGAAUAAGCACCGGCUAACUACGUGCCAGCAGCCGCGGUAAUACGUAGGGUGCAAGCGUUAAUCGGAAUUACUGGGCGUAAAGCGUGCGCAGGCGGUUUUGUAAGUCUGAUGUGAAAUCCCCGGGCUCAACCUGGGAAUUGCAUUGGAGACUGCAAGGCUAGAAUCUGGCAGAGGGGGGUAGAAUUCCACGUGUAGCAGUGAAAUGCGUAGAUAUGUGGAGGAACACCGAUGGCGAAGGCAGCCCCCUGGGUCAAGAUUGACGCUCAUGCACGAAAGCGUGGGGAGCAAACAGGAUUAGAAACCCCUGUAGUCC
Molecule: ribosomal RNA, 470 nt
Filed under: uncultured organism
Description: partial 16S ribosomal RNA
Rfam family: Bacterial small subunit ribosomal RNA
Source: RNAcentral